RNAcentral lists this non-coding RNA (102 nucleotides) under Thermobrachium celere. Its description in RNAcentral is "Guanine sequence". It matches the Rfam family "Purine riboswitch aptamer". Rfam says of the family: Riboswitches are metabolite binding domains within certain messenger RNAs that serve as precision sensors for their corresponding targets. RNAcentral also lists the same sequence under 1 other name. The record is from RNAcentral. Lineage: Bacteria; Bacillati; Bacillota; Clostridia; Eubacteriales; Clostridiaceae.
GUGUAAAUUUCAUAAGUCACUCAUAUAAUCCCGAUAAUAUGGUUCGGGAGUCUCUACCGGAGAACCGUAAAUUCUCCGACUAUGAGUGAGUCGGGCAGUGCU